Molecule: ribosomal RNA, 465 nt
Filed under: Vreelandella stevensii
Lineage: Bacteria; Pseudomonadati; Pseudomonadota; Gammaproteobacteria; Oceanospirillales; Halomonadaceae
Description: partial 16S ribosomal RNA
Rfam family: Bacterial small subunit ribosomal RNA
Source: RNAcentral
CCUACGGGUGGCUGCAGUGGGGAAUAUUGGACAAUGGGGGGAACCCUGAUCCAGCCAUGCCGCGUGUGUGAAGAAGGCCCUCGGGUUGUAAAGCACUUUCAGUGAGGAAGAACGCCUGGUGGUUAAUACCCAUCAGGAAAGACAUCACUCACAGAAGAAGCACCGGCUAACUCCGUGCCAGCAGCCGCGGUAAUACGGAGGGUGCGAGCGUUAAUCGGAAUUACUGGGCGUAAAGCGCGCGUAGGUGGCUUGAUAAGCCGGUUGUGCAAGCCCCGGGCUCAACCUGGGAACGGCAUCCGGAACUGUCAAGCUAGAGUGCAGGAGAGGAAGGUAGAAUUCCCGGUGUAGCGGUGAAAUGCGUAGAGAUCGGGAGGAAUACCAGUGGCGAAGGCGGCCUUCUGGACUGACACUGACACUGAGGUGCGAAAGCGUGGGUAGCAAACAGGAUUAGAUACCCUAGUAGUC